This 497-nucleotide ribosomal RNA is filed under the name uncultured bacterium. Its description in RNAcentral is "partial 16S ribosomal RNA". It matches the Rfam family "Bacterial small subunit ribosomal RNA", at positions 28 to 507 of the family's 1533-position model. The record is from RNAcentral.
GAUGAACGCUGGCGGCGUGCCUAAUACAUGCAAGUCGAGCGAACAGACGAGGAGCUUGCUCCUCUGACGUUAGCGGCGGACGGGUGAGUAACACGUGGAUAACCUACCUAUAAGACUGGGAUAACUUCGGGAAACCGGAGCUAAUACCGGAUAAUAUAUUGAACCGCAUGGUUCAAUAGUGAAAGACGGUUUUGCUGUCACUUAUAGAUGGAUCCGCGCCGCAUUAGCUAGUUGGUAAGGUAACGGCUUACCAAGGCAACGAUGCGUAGCCGACCUGAGAGGGUGAUCGGCCACACUGGAACUGAGACACGGUCCAGACUCCUACGGGAGGCAGCAGUAGGGAAUCUUCCACAAUGGGCGAAAGCCUGACGGAGCAACGCCGCGUGAGUGAUGAAGGUCUUCGGAUCGUAAAACUCUGUUAUUAGGGAAGAACAAAUGUGUAAGUAACUAUGCACGUCUUGACGGUACCGAAUCAGAAAGCCACGGCUAACUACGUG